This 481-nucleotide ribosomal RNA is filed under the name uncultured bacterium. RNAcentral describes it as "partial 16S ribosomal RNA". It matches the Rfam family "Bacterial small subunit ribosomal RNA", at positions 28 to 523 of the family's 1533-position model. The record is from RNAcentral.
GACGAACGCUGGCGGCGUGCUUAACACAUGCAAGUCGAACGAUGAAACCUAGCUUGCUAGGUCGAUUAGUGGCGAACGGGUGAGUAACACGUGACUAACCUGCCCCUUUCUCUGGGAUAACGCUCCGAAAGGAGUGCUAAUACCGGAUACUCACAUCGAGGCACAUGCCUUGGUGUGGAAAGUUUUUCGGAAAGGGAUGGAGUCGCGGCCUAUCAGCUUGUUGGUGAGGUAACGGCUCACCAAGGCGACGACGGUAGCCGGCCUGAGAGGGCGACCGGCCACACUGGGACUGAGACACGGCCCAGACUCCUACGGGAGGCAGCAGUGGGGAAUAUUGCACAAUGGGCGCAAGCCUGAUGCAGCGACGCCGCGUGAGGGAUGAAGGUCUUCGGAUUGUAAACCUCUUUCAGUAGGGACGAAGCGAAAGUGACGGUACCUAAAGAAGAAGCACCGGCUAACUACGUGCCAGCCGACGCUGUAA